UACAGAGGUGGCAAGCGUUGUUCGGAAUUACUGGGCGUAAAGGGCGCGUAGGCGGCCUUGUAAGUCCCGUGUGAAAUCCCUCGGCUCAACUGAGGAACUGCACGGGAAACUGCUUGGCUUGAGUUCGGGAGAGGGAAGCGGAAUUCCGGGUGUAGCGGUGAAAUGCGUAGAUAUCCGGAGGAACACCGGUGGCGAAGGCGGCUUCCUGGACCAACACUGACACUGAGGAGCGAAAGCCAGGGGAGCAAACGGG
This 253-nucleotide ribosomal RNA is filed under the name uncultured bacterium. RNAcentral's name for it is "partial 16S ribosomal RNA". It matches the Rfam family "Bacterial small subunit ribosomal RNA", at positions 524 to 776 of the family's 1533-position model. The record is from RNAcentral.